CUAAAUCCAACCUAAGCAAAAGUCCAAUUUAUUUCGGGCUAUAAAUAAAAUCCAAAAUUCACAAAUAAAAUCCCAAAACCCAAGGUCCACAAAUAAAAUCCAAAACCCAAAGUCCACAAGUAAAAACUCAAAACAUAAAGUCCACAAAUAAAACCCAAAAUUCAAAGUCCACAAAUAAAACCCACAAUUGCAAAGUCGCUAAACUAACCCAUCAAAUGAAACGACUGUAAAGUCGCUAAACUAAACAACCAAACGACCGCAAAGUUGCUAAACUAAACAACCAAUCCAAACAACCACAAAGUCGUUAAACUAAACUAAACCCAAAUUCAUACGACCAUAAAGUCGUUAAACUAACAUGACCGCAAAGUCGCUAAACUAAACAAUCCAAACUCAAACCGACUGCCAUGUCGUUAAACUGAGCAACUCAACUCAAACUGACUGUCAUGUCAUUAAAUUGAGCAACUCAGCUCAAACUAACCGCUAUAUCCUUAAAUUGAGUAACUCAACUCAAACCAAUCGCUAUAUCGUUAAACUGAACAACUAAACUUCAAUCCGACCGCCAUUUUGUUAAACUGAGUGCCUCAGCCUAAAGCCGACCGUCAUGUCGUUAAACUGAGUGCCUCAGCUUAAAGCCGACCACUAUGUCGUUAAACUGAGCGCCUCAACUCCAAGCCUACCGUCAUGUCGUUAAACUGAGCACCUCAACUUCAAGUCGACUGUCAUGUCAUUAAAUUGAGUACCUCAACCUAAAGCCGACCGUCAUGUCGUUAAACUGAGCACCUCAACCUCAAGCCGGCUAUUAUGUCGUUAAACUAGGCAUCUCAACUUCAAAUCACUAAGUCGCUAAACUGAGCAAAUUAAAUUUAGACUCAACCCAAUCUGACCGUCAAGUCGUUAAACUGAGAAAAUCAAGUUUAAAUCAUUUAACCGCCAAAUCACU
This 940-nucleotide long non-coding RNA is filed under the name Ananas comosus (pineapple). Its description in RNAcentral is "long non-coding RNA (ACOM_LNC003894)". The record is from RNAcentral. Lineage: Eukaryota; Viridiplantae; Streptophyta; Magnoliopsida; Poales; Bromeliaceae.